RNAcentral lists this ribosomal RNA (253 nucleotides) under uncultured bacterium. RNAcentral's name for it is "partial 16S ribosomal RNA". It matches the Rfam family "Bacterial small subunit ribosomal RNA", at positions 524 to 776 of the family's 1533-position model. The record is from RNAcentral.
UACGAAGGGGGCUAGCGUUGCUCGGAAUCACUGGGCGUAAAGCGCACGUAGGCGGAUCUUUAAGUCAGGGGUGAAAUCCUGGAGCUCAACUCCAGAACUGCCUUUGAUACUGAAGAUCUUGAGUCCGGGAGAGGUGAGUGGAACUGCGAGUGUAGAGGUGAAAUUCGUAGAUAUUCGCAAGAACACCAGUGGCGAAGGUGGCUCACUGGCCCGGUACUGACGCUGAGGCACGAAAGCGUGGGGAGCAAACAGG